AUUUGUCCCCCAAAUAGGGACUUGUAUGAACGGCUAAAUGAGGUUCUAACUGUCUCAUUGGACUAAUCAAUGAAACUGAUCUUUCAGUACAAAAGCUGAAAUAAACUCAUAAGACGAGAAGACCCUGUGGAGCUUAAAAUAAACACUAUAACUACCUCCCACCUGUUUUUUUAGUUGGGGCGACUUUGGAACAAAACAAAACUUCCAUGCAGGGCCCCUAUCAAGGCCUACACGCCAAAACAACUUCCUAUUGACCCAGCAACCAUUGAGCUGAUCAACGAACCAAGUUACCCCAGGGAUAACAGCGCCAUCCUCUUCAAGAGUCCCUAUCGACAAGAGGGUUUACGACCUCGAUGUUGGAUCAGGACACCCCGGUGGUGCAACCGCUA
This 389-nucleotide ribosomal RNA is filed under the name Strophurus wellingtonae. RNAcentral's name for it is "partial 16S ribosomal RNA". It matches the Rfam family "Bacterial large subunit ribosomal RNA", at positions 1967 to 2564 of the family's 2925-position model. The record is from RNAcentral. Lineage: Eukaryota; Metazoa; Chordata; Lepidosauria; Squamata; Diplodactylidae.